RNAcentral lists this long non-coding RNA (1406 nucleotides) under Rattus norvegicus (Norway rat). RNAcentral's name for it is "long non-coding RNA NONRATT028786". The record is from RNAcentral. Lineage: Eukaryota; Metazoa; Chordata; Mammalia; Rodentia; Muridae.
GUGUAAUGAAAACAUAAGGUAACAAAGAUGGAAAUUUUUGGCCCCAAAAACUCGCUUCUCUCUCCUGCCAUAGAUAAUCAGCUCGUGUCAGCCACUGUCAGGUACUGUGCUAGCUGCCCUUCUCACUGCUGCCACUAAAUACCUGACAAAAGGAACAUAAGGAAAAGGGGGUUCAUCUUGGCUCACAGUUUUAGGGCGCCACCUACUGUGGCAGAGAAGAAUGGCAGCGGGAGCAUGAGGCGGUCGGUCACAUCGCAGUCACAGACAGGAAGCAGAGAGAGAGGAAUGUUGAGGCUCAGCCCACUUUCUCCUUUUCCUCCUUUUUAUUUAGUCUGGAGUUUCAGCCUAUGGAAUGGUGCUCCCAACGCUCAGGGUGAGUCCUCUCUCCUUGGUUAAACCUCUCCAGUAGCACCCCAAGUGAUUCCAAAUCCCAUCAAGUUGACAAUGAAGAUAAUUGUCCUAGCUUCUCCUGUCCUUCCUUUCCCUUUCCUUUCAUUACACAGUACCCCUCCUGUUUCCCUUCUUCUCUCUCUGUCUCUAAGUCAGUGGUUCUCAACCUGUGGGUCACAAUCCCUUUGAGGGUUGAAUAACCCUUCUAUAGGGGUCACUUAAAAGCAUCAGAAAACACAAAUAUUUACAUUACGAUUCAAAACCGUAAAAUUACAGUCAUGAAGUAGCAAUGAGAUACUUUUCUGGUUGGGUGGGAGUCACCCCAACAUGAGGAACUGUAUUAAAAGCAAUAAGAAGGUUGAGAACCACUGCCCUAAGUCCUAUAUAAUGGUGAUUACCUCUUAUGCUGUUGAUAGAACAAAAGAAGUUGCUGUCCCUAACAGUUGGGACAGCUGGUCCCCAUCCUGUAUAUUUUAGUUACUGUGGGUUCCUGAGGUGCUUGGUAGCAGUAAAACAAUUUAAUGGGAAACUAACAGACUGGAAAGCACUUGGAGUCAGGAACCUUAAAAAAAAAAAAAAAACUGGACACUUGGAGGGAGAAACUGGACACUUACUGUGCUAUAAAUACCCACCACAGCCAAAGCAAAAAUUCCCUGACACAUCUCAUUUUCUUGGCUCAUUUUUAUGCUCCUCAGGACAUAAUAAGUAGGGUAUUCUGACAUUUUUUAAGUCAUCCCCCAAGUUCUUUAGCUUAAUACUUUAUCUUCCUGUCAAUCUGAAAAUAUAUUUGUUUUGUCUUAUUCCUUAAUCUGAUUUUUCCUUCCUUCUCACCCACUUGGGUGUGGUAUUGGAGCCCGUUUGUAUAGGUUUGCUGGUUGUUUGGUUUUCAAGAAUUCUUUGAAUUAUUGCUCAAAAUAGCCCUAUUAAAAAUUAAAGUGUGGGGGUUGGGGAUUUAGCUCAGUGGUAGAGCGCUUGCCUAGCAAGCGCAAGGCCCUGGGUUUGGUCCCCAGCUCCGA